ACACGUCCGUUACAGAGAUCUUCGAUGCUGAACGUCUUCUAUAAAUAUCUAUUUGGCAAACCUCGAGUAGCUUGAGUAGCACCUCCGGAAAUACUUGUCGUUAGACUCAAUCACCUUAUUAGCGCGAAGCCUUACACGUGGAAUAUCUAAAGGACUGACGCUAAAAGUAAUCUGCGAAUUGGGAAUCCUUCGUUCAAAGCAACGUCUAAUAGAAUCAUAUUAGUCAACGCCAGAGUGAUCAAGACAGAUAUAACAUCGCAGAUGUAUCAACUGCUUGAAUUGCAGGACUCGGAAUAUCGUCUUCUACAUCCACCGUGUCCGAGCUACCCAAGCCACCAAUAGAUGGUCUACUAUGUAAACUACUGGAAGGAGGUACAAGACUUGGCAUUUCACCUAUGGACUGCAUUCGUUUAGCUUUUACAACUUCCUCCUGCAAAAAUAACACUGUCAGUAACAUAUUACAGGAUAAUUGAAUCAUACAGAAAACUUACAGCUGGCUUAGCAGAAGUAGGAGCAUCGCCAACUUUACUCUUAUCCUAUAAAAUAUGUUAGUAGUGUUAUUAGUAAACUUGAAAAUAAAUUUGAAUUAUUAAUUGUUAGAGAAGAGAAAAAGAGAAGAAAAGGGAAACAGUAGCACCAUUUUUAAUCUUACUUCAAUUUCAUCCGGAGCCUCCAAACAAUCCGUAAGAACCAACAAUUGAUUUUCUCUUUUCUCCACUUCGCUCUGAUAUUUGAUAGGAUUCGCUAAAGCUUCGGCAAGCUCGCUCAAACCAUCAGGCACGUAAUCCUUUACGAUAACGUGUAAAAACACACUCGCUAAUGGUAGCGGUUGCCCACACUCGUUUCUUAGUGCAACGUGUCUGUAUCCUGGGCAUAAUCCAACUACAGGUAAUACCCUGUGACCGAUGAAACGUCCAGAAUCUUCAUAUGCGGCAAUCCUUAUCGAAGCAAGUUCCGGUAAAACUACCUGAGAAAUGCAAAAGCAAUACAUUAUUAUAGAAGCUGUGUAACAAGACAAUGUAUAAAUAAUAUAAUUUUACCUUUUUAAAUACGAAUGGUUCCUCAUCAUAUAUGGGAUUAAUACCGUUAUUCGGCACGAUUUUUGUGCGGAAUUUCUUUCUUACGGUAUCAGCUGGUAAACCAUACAUAUCCACUUCUACAUAAGUGCCUACUCUUUUGUCGGUUAAAAAUUGCGCGGAUAUUACGUGAAUGUGAACGGUGCCCGCAAUAAUACCAUCAACGGUAGAUUCAGCAAAAGGAUCUAAUCGUCGAUCUUUCCUUCUCAUAAAUUCCGGUUUCAAUAGAUAACCACAACGUUGAUUGUAUUCAAAUAUCCCCAAAUUUAAUUGCAUCGCUAGAUCUGUUAUCAAUCAAAUUAAUCAAAUUCAUUAACGAUAAAAGUAAAAUGAUAACGUCGAAUAAUACACUAAAUAAAAUUUUACGUACCGAGUGUUUGAUAAUUUAAUGCAACUAGCUGACAUCCCGCGUUCCAAAAUACUUGCGGCAUGAAAUUGCUAGAAUCGAAUCGUGUUCCUGCUGGAUAAACUCUGGAUAACUGAUGUUUGUUGUAAUUUACAAAUUCUAGUGGUCUCUCCUUCAAAAGAGUCGUAGCUUGUUUCUCGUCGAAAGAUGACAUUUCGUACGUACGAUUUUUUUCUGUACAAGUGAUAUAAAAAUUUAUCGUCUUCGCAAUAUACGAAGAGAAUGCAUAAAAAUUCUUCUCGUUAAAAUACAUCACGUACUUUCAGCCGACUCGAAACUGUUGAAGUGUACAGGCUGCACAUAAUUAACUAGAGCAGAAAUUUCUGCACCCGCCUCCGUCUCUUUGGCCGCGGAUGCUUUAUCUGCCGCAGAUCCUUUGUCACCCAUUCUCAGUUCCACGUUAGACUCAUCUUCGUCUGUACUCGAUUCGUCUUCCUCAUCUAAAAAAAAUUAAUGCAUUAAAAAUAUAAGUAUCUCUUAUAAAUAUAUUAUUUAUAGUUUCUUUUUUUUAUUACCAACCUUCAUCAUCCUGAGCACUAUCUUUACUACCCUGUCUUUGUUGCAACAUAGGAGGAUGAGGAAUAUCGCCAUUCCCAAUUUGUUGUUCAUUUCCAGAUGCGCUAUCAUCAGCCAUUUCAUUUUGAGGUAUUAUAUCCGGUGGUGGGCCGUUUUCUCCUGCAGAUGGAUUCACCGUCCCGUUUGUUUCAUUCUCUGGGUUAUCUUCAGCAGUGUCUAAUGCUUGCGGUUGCUUUUUGUGAUGCUUUUUAUGAUGAUGAUGAUGUUUUUUCUUAUUUUUUAUUAUUAUUUUGCGCUUCAAUAACGAUGGAGGUGGAAGCUCUUGACCUGGCUCUAACUAAAAACAAAAAAGAAUUAAUCGUUACAAUAAAUCAUAAAAAAAUUUUCUUUUGCUUAUAAUUAUCCUAUUAUUCUUAUAAUUAUCCUAUUCUAUUAAGUCUCCAUUAAACAUAAUAUCUAAAAAUACCUUGUGCGAUUCGAGUGGCGCCUCAAGUAACAUUUCCCCGAAAAGUUCUCUGCAGUACUGUGCGAUUUUGGCUUGUUGCCUUGGAUUACAAUGAUUUUCGAAACUGAGAAUGACCGGAUAGUCAGAAGUUUUAAAAGCACUCUCAGCAAUUGCUUCUAUCACAUCUCGAGCACAUAUUUCAGGUUCGUCAACUUUUCCAUUCCAAAAAUCUAAUUCGACGCAUCGACAACCGGCUAAAAGACACUGACGAUAAAUUUCCACAGAACUCUUUCCAGUGAGUUGAUGCCCUAGACAGAGAAAAUUAUAUCUGCUACAAU
Non-coding RNA from Nylanderia fulva, 2781 nucleotides. NCBI's taxonomy places the organism in Eukaryota, Metazoa, Arthropoda, Insecta, Hymenoptera, Formicidae. The record is from RefSeq and is a predicted model, not a curated record.